CCUACGGGUGGCUGCAGUGAGGAAUAUUGGUCAAUGGACGAGAGUCUGAACCAGCCAAGUAGCGUGAAGGAUGACUGCCCUAUGGGUUGUAAACUUCUUUUAUAUGGGAAUAAAAUGUUCCACGGGUGGGAUUUUGUAUGUACCAUAUGAAUAAGGAUCGGCUAACUCCGUGCCAGCAGCCGCGGUAAUACGGAGGAUCCGAGCGUUAUCCGGAUUUAUUGGGGUUAAAGGGAGCGUAGGUGGAUUGUUAAGUCAGUUGUGAAAGUUUGCGGCUCAACCGUAAAAUUGCAGUUGCAACUGGCAGUCUUGAGUACAGUAGCGUUGGGCGGAUUUCGUGGUGUAGCGGUUACAUGCUUAGCUAUCCCG
This 366-nucleotide ribosomal RNA is filed under the name uncultured bacterium. RNAcentral's name for it is "partial 16S ribosomal RNA". It matches the Rfam family "Bacterial small subunit ribosomal RNA", at positions 338 to 701 of the family's 1533-position model. The record is from RNAcentral.